This 294-nucleotide unclassified non-coding RNA is filed under the name uncultured fungus. RNAcentral's name for it is "partial contains 5.8S rRNA, ITS2 and 28S rRNA". It matches the Rfam family "Eukaryotic large subunit ribosomal RNA", at positions 668 to 960 of the family's 3401-position model. Lineage: Eukaryota; Fungi. The record is from RNAcentral.
AAGGAGUCUAACAUCUAUGCGAGUGUUUGGGUGUCAAGCCCGGGCGCGUAAUGAAAGUGAACGGAGGUGGGAACCCUCUUCGGGGGGUGCACCAUCGACCGAUCCUGAUGUCUUCGGAUGGAUUUGAGUAAGAGCAUAGCUGUUGGGACCCGAAAGAUGGUGAACUAUGCUUGAAUGGGGUGAAGCCAGAGGAAACUCUGGUGGAGGCUCGCAGCGGUUCUGACGUGCAAAUCGAUCGUCAAAUUUGGGCAUAGGGGCGAAAGACUAAUCGAACUAUCUAGUAGCUGGUUCCUG